Molecule: ribosomal RNA, 466 nt
Filed under: uncultured bacterium
Lineage: Bacteria
Description: partial 16S ribosomal RNA
Rfam family: Bacterial small subunit ribosomal RNA
Source: RNAcentral
GAUGAACGCUGGCGGCGUGCUUAACACAUGCAAGUCGAACGAUGAAGCCCAGCUUGCUGGGUGGAUUAGUGGCGAACGGGUGAGUAACACGUGAGUAACCUGCCCUUAACUCUGGGAUAAGCCUGGGAAACUGGGUCUAAUACCGGAUAGGAGCGUCCACCGCAUGGUGGGUGUUGGAAAGAUUUAUCGGUUUUGGAUGGACUCGCGGCCUAUCAGCUUGUUGGUGAGGUAAUGGCUCACCAAGGCGACGACGGGUAGCCGGCCUGAGAGGGUGACCGGCCACACUGGGACUGAGACACGGCCCAGACUCCUACGGGAGGCAGCAGUGGGGAAUAUUGCACAAUGGGCGCAAGCCUGAUGCAGCGACGCCGCGUGAGGGAUGACGGCCUUCGGGUUGUAAACCUCUUUCAGUAGGCAAGAGGCGAAAGUGACGGUACCUGCAGAAGAAGCACCGGCUAACUACGUG